UCGCAUCUGUGCAUGCAGCAUAUCAAUAAGCGGAGGAAAAGAAACUAACAAGGAUUCCCUUAGUAACGGCGAGUGAAGCGGGAAGAGCUCAAAUUUGAAAUCUUCAAGGUUUUACCUUGACGAAUUGUAGUUUAAAGAAGUGUUUUCUGUUGAAGUUUUGGUAAAAGUUCUUUGGAAUAGGACAUCAUAGAGGGUGAGAAUCCCGUAUUUGACCAUUAUUUUCAGCUGUGUGAUACACUUUCAAAGAGUCGGAUUGUUUGGGAAUGCAGUCCAAAAUGGGUGGUAAAUUUCAUCUAAAGCUAAAUAUUGGCGAGAGACCGAUAGCGAACAAGUACCGUGAGGGAAAGAUGAAAAGAACUUUGAAAAGAGAGUUAAACAGUACGUGAAAUUGUCAAAAGGGAAGCGUUUGACACCAGUGUUGUUUUCUCGAAAAUCAAUUAAAAAGAGUUAGAUUUUGUUGUGUAUUGACCUUAACAGCUUGCAUUUCAAUUUUCUUGCUUUUUUUAAUGCACUUUUCGUUUAACAAGUCAACAUCAGUUUCUUUUGUUGUAAAAAGGUCAUUGGAAGGUGGCUUUCUUUUCGGAGAAAGUGUUUAUAGCCUUUGACUCCUGCAAUCGGAGAGACUGAGGUCUGCAGCGUAGAUCCUUCGGGGUUAGAUACAUUUGUGCUAAGUUAUAGCUUUUUAUAGACAACUUGUUGACUAUGAUUAGUCUUGUAGCUUACUCGCUUAUGCUAUUUUACCUACGCUUAGGAUGUUGACACACGCGCGUGCUCG
RNAcentral lists this ribosomal RNA (775 nucleotides) under uncultured Neocallimastigales. RNAcentral's name for it is "partial large subunit ribosomal RNA". It matches the Rfam family "Eukaryotic large subunit ribosomal RNA", at positions 24 to 644 of the family's 3401-position model. The record is from RNAcentral. Lineage: Eukaryota; Fungi; Neocallimastigomycota; Neocallimastigomycetes; Neocallimastigales.